RNAcentral lists this ribosomal RNA (937 nucleotides) under uncultured bacterium. RNAcentral describes it as "bacterial SSU rRNA". It matches the Rfam family "Bacterial small subunit ribosomal RNA", at positions 8 to 934 of the family's 1533-position model. The record is from RNAcentral.
AGAGUUUGAUUAGGGCUCAGAUUGAACGCUGGCGGCAGGCCUAACACAUGCAAGUCGAGCGGCAGCGGGAAGUAGCUUGCUACUUUGCCGGCGAGCGGCGGACGGGUGAGUAAUGUCUGGGAAACUGCCUGAUGGAGGGGGAUAACUACUGGAAACGGUAGCUAAUACCGCAUGACCUCGCAAGAGCAAAGUGGGGGACCUUCGGGCCUCACGCCAUCGGAUGUGCCCAGAUGGGAUUAGCUAGUAGGUGAGGUAAUGGCUCACCUAGGCGACGAUCCCUAGCUGGUCUGAGAGGAUGACCAGCCACACUGGAACUGAGACACGGUCCAGACUCCUACGGGAGGCAGCAGUGGGGAAUAUUGCACAAUAGGGGAAACCCUGAUGCAGCCAUGCCGCGUGUGUGAAGAAGGCCUUCGGGUUGUAAAGCACUUUCAGCGGGGAGGAAGGCAAUGGCGUUAAUAGUGUCAUUGAUUGACGUUACCCGCAGAAGAAGCACCGGCUAACUCCGUGCCAGCAGCCGCGGUAAUACGGAGGGUGCGAGCGUUAAUCGGAAUUACUGGGCGUAAAGCGUACGCAGGCGGUCUGUUAAGUCAGAUGUGAAAUCCCCGGGCUUAACCUGGGAACUGCAUUUGAAACUGGCAGGCUAGAGUAUGGGAGAGGAUGGUAGAAUUCCAGGUGUAGCGGUGAAAUGCGUAGAGAUCUGGAGGAAUACCGAUGGCGAAGGCAGCCAUCUGGCCUAAUACUGACGCUGAGGUACGAAAGCAUGGGGAGCAAACAGGAUUAGAUACCCUGGUAGUCCAUGCCGUAAACGAUGUCUACUAGCCGUUGGGGCCUUUGAGGCUUUAGUGGCGCAGCUAACGCGAUAAGUAGACCGCCUGGGGAGUACGGUCGCAAGACUAAAACUCAAAUGAAUUGACGGGGGCCCGCACAAGUGGUG